GAUGAACGCUGGCGGCGUGCCUAAUACAUGCAAGUCGAGCGAACGGACGAGAAGCUUGCUUCUCUGAUGUUAGCGGCGGACGGGUGAGUAACACGUGGAUAACCUACCUAUAAGACUGGGAUAACUUCGGGAAACCGGAGCUAAUACCGGAUAAUCUUUUGAACCGCAUGGUUCAAAAGUGAAAGACGGUCUUGCUGUCACUUCUAGAUGGAUCCGCGCUGCAUUAGCUAGUUGGUAAGGUACCGGCUUACCAAGGCAACGAUGCAUAGCCGACCGGAGAGGAUGAGCGGCCACACUGGAACUGUGACACGGCCCAUACGCCUAGGGGAGGCAGCAGUAGGGAAUCUGCCGCGAGGGGCGAAAGCCUUACGGAGCAACGCCGCGUGAGUGAUGAAGGUCGUCGGAUCGGAAAACUCUGUUAUUAGGGAAGAACAUAUGUGUAAGUAACUGUGCACAUCUUGACGGUACCUAAUCAGAAAGCCACGGCUAACUACGUUC
RNAcentral lists this ribosomal RNA (498 nucleotides) under uncultured bacterium. RNAcentral's name for it is "partial 16S ribosomal RNA". It matches the Rfam family "Bacterial small subunit ribosomal RNA", at positions 28 to 508 of the family's 1533-position model. The record is from RNAcentral.